RNAcentral lists this ribosomal RNA (718 nucleotides) under uncultured bacterium. RNAcentral's name for it is "bacterial SSU rRNA". It matches the Rfam family "Bacterial small subunit ribosomal RNA", at positions 77 to 797 of the family's 1533-position model. The record is from RNAcentral.
UUUUUGAAGAUGCGAUUAUAUCAAGUCAGAUAUAUUGAAAAGUUAGUGGCGAACGAGGUAGUAAUACAUAGGAACUUCCCCCAAAGUCGUGAAUAAUUCAUCGAAAGGUGAACUAAUACACGAUAGUCUCGMARRAGUAAAGUUUUAACGCUUUGGRAAAGGCCUGUGCGAWAUCAGCUAGUUGGWAGKGUAAKGGGCUACCARGGCUAURACGUCUAGGGGAGGUGAGAGCCUGACCCCCACCGAUGGUACUGAGACACGGACCAUACACCUACGGGUGGCUGCAGUCRAGAAUCUUCCACAAUGGACGAAAGUCUGAUGGAGCGACSCCGCGUGAUUGAUGAAGUCCCUCUGGGACGUAAAGAUCUUUUAUGAGGGAAGAAGUUUAUUGACUGUACCUCAUGAAUAAGAGGCUCCUAAUCUCGUGCCAGCAGGAGCGGUAAUACGAGAGCCUCGAGCGUUAUCCGGAAUUAUUGGGCGUAAAGGGUGCGUAGGUUGUUGUAUUAGUCUUUUGUCAAAGACCCGAGCUUAACUUGGGGAUCGCGAAAGAAACGGUACUAACUUGAAAGUGCGAGAGGCGUACGGAACUCAUGGUGUAGGGGUGAAAUCCGUUGAUAUCAUGGGGAACACCAAAUGCGAAGGCAGUACGCUGGCGCAUAUUUGACGCUSAAGCACGAAAGCGUGGGUAGCGAAUGGGAUUAGAUACCCCAGUAGUCCA